AUCCAGCCAUGCCGCGUGAGUGAUGAAGGUCUUAGGAUUGUAAAGCUCUUUCACCGGUGAAGAUAAUGACGGUAACCGGAGAAGAAGCCCCGGCUAACUUCGUGCCAGCAGCCGCGGUAAUACGAAGGGGGCUAGCGUUGUUCGGAUUUACUGGGCGUAAAGCGCACGUAGGCGGACUUUUAAGUCAGGGGUGAAAUCCCGGGGCUCAACCCCGGAACUGCCUUUGAUACUGGAAGUCUUGAGUAUGGUAGAGGUGAGUGGAAUUCCGAGUGUAGAGGUGAAAUUCGUAGAUAUUCGGAGGAACACCAGUGGCGAAGGCGGCUCACUGGACCAUUACUGACGCUGAGGUGCGAAAGCGUGGGGAGCAAACAGGAUUAGAUACCCUG
RNAcentral lists this ribosomal RNA (386 nucleotides) under Brucella anthropi. RNAcentral describes it as "bacterial SSU rRNA". It matches the Rfam family "Bacterial small subunit ribosomal RNA", at positions 386 to 789 of the family's 1533-position model. The record is from RNAcentral. Lineage: Bacteria; Pseudomonadati; Pseudomonadota; Alphaproteobacteria; Hyphomicrobiales; Brucellaceae.